This 433-nucleotide ribosomal RNA is filed under the name uncultured bacterium. RNAcentral's name for it is "partial 16S ribosomal RNA". It matches the Rfam family "Bacterial small subunit ribosomal RNA", at positions 29 to 507 of the family's 1533-position model. The record is from RNAcentral.
AACGAACGCUGGCGGUAUGCCUAACACAUGCAAGUCGAACGAGACCUUCGGGUCUAGUGGCGCUUGGGUGCGUCACGCGUGGGACCCUUCCCUUAGGCUCGGAAUACUACUUCGACAGGGGUGCUAAUAUCGGGUAACUUCUUCGAAUCCAAGAUUUAUCCUACUUGUAUGGGCACGGGUUGUUUUAGCUAGUUGGUAGGGAAAAAGCCUACCAAGGCGACGAUCCUUAGCUGGUCAGAGAGGAUGAUCAGCCACACUGGGACGGAGACACGGCCCAGACUCCUACGGGAGGCAGCAGUGGGGAAUAUUGGACAAUGGGCGAAAGCCUGAUCCAGCAAUGCCGGGUGAGUGAUGAAGGCGUUAGGGUUGUAAAGCUCUUUUACCCGGGAUGAUAAUGACAGUACCGGGAGAAUAAGCUCCGGCUAACUCCGUG